UCCUACGGGGGGCAGCAGUGGGGAAUAUUGUGCAAUGGGCGAAAGCCUGACGCAGCGACGCCGCGUGAGGGAUGAAGGUCUUCGGAUCGUAAACCUCUGUCAGCAGGGAAGAACGGUCACUGUGCUAAUCAGCAGUGAAUUGACGGUACCUGCAAAGGAAGCACCGGCUAACUCCGUGCCAGCAGCCGCGGUAAUACGGAGGGUGCGAGCGUUAAUCGGAAUUACUGGGCGUAAAGCGCUCGUAGGCGGUAUGUCAAGUCAAGGGUGAAAUCCCCGCGCUCAACGUGGGAACUGCCUUUGAAACU
Molecule: ribosomal RNA, 305 nt
Filed under: uncultured bacterium
Lineage: Bacteria
Description: bacterial SSU rRNA
Rfam family: Bacterial small subunit ribosomal RNA
Source: RNAcentral